Molecule: RNA transcript, 1856 nt
Organism: Lotus japonicus
Lineage: Eukaryota; Viridiplantae; Streptophyta; Magnoliopsida; Fabales; Fabaceae
Gene name: dehydrodolichyl diphosphate synthase CPT3
Exons: 3
Source: RefSeq, a predicted model, not a curated record
UGAAAGCAUUUCAACUCCGAGCGAGUGUCUUCUGACUCUGUUUCCAAUAACAACCAAACACACUUUGGUCUCGUUUUCUUUUCUUCCUCUAAAGUUUUCUCCUUUAUCUUUGCGAUUUUUCCAAAUUCUCGAUUUGAUUCCGAUCAAAUUCGAACUUCUGAACUGAUCUCAUCCAUGCACGCAUUCCUUCUUUGAAGGUUUGUCUAAGACUCUACGAAGUUUAUUCCUGAAUACUUCAAUGCAGAAAAGUACUGGAGGUAUUACAAGCCACUUACUUGAAGGUUUAUGUUGUUAUCUAAGAAGAUGCGUGUUUGCCAUUUUAUCUGUGGGUCCUGUGCCAAAUCAUAUUGCUUUCAUAAUGGACGGGAAUCGAAGGUAUGCAAAGAAGAGAAACUUAGGAGAAGGUGAUGGCCAUAGGGCUGGAUUUGCAGCUCUCUUGUCGAUUCUUAGGUACUGCUAUGAAUUGAGAGUGAGGUAUGUAACUGUCUAUGCAUUCAGCAUUGAUAACUUCAAAAGGAAGCCUAAAGAGGUUGAAACCUUCAUGGAAUUGAUGCGAGAAAAGAUUGAGGAGUUACUUCAACAGGAAAGCAUUAUUAACGAAUAUGGUGUUAGAUUACAUUUCAUUGGAAACUUGCAGCUAUUGGCUGAUCCUGUCAGGCAUGCUGUGGAAAAGGCAAUGCGAGUUACUGCCCACAACAAAGAAAGAGUUCUUUUGAUUUGUGUAGCCUAUACUUCUCGUGAUGAGAUUGUGCAUGCUGUUGAGGAAUCCUGCAAGGAUAAAUGGAAUGAAGUGCAAGCAUCAAAAGAAGCAAAAGUUUCCAAUGAUGCAUUUGCAAGGAUUAAUGAGGGCCAGGAAAGAAAUGGUUUGGAUCUACAUUUUCAAGAUUCUGGCACCAAAAUUUGUAGUAGAAUAGUUGACAGAGUGGAAGGUGGAGUGAAAGAUGGCUUGCUUGAGCAUAAUGCUGAGAAACAUGAUUGUAAUUACAGUGAGGCUGAAAUCACAUCUUGCAAUGGGCUGGUUGAAAUAACUGAAGAGAGAAGGUAUAAGCAGAGUGGGCUUCCUUCUAUAAAACUGGUGGAUGUUGAGAAGCACAUGUACAUGGCAGUGGCACCUGACCCUGACAUUUUGAUCCGCACUUCUGGAGAAGCUCGCCUCAGCAAUUUUCUUCUUUGGCAGACUAGUACCUGCCCUUUGUAUGCACCAAAAGCACUUUGGCCUGAAAUAGGUCUAAGACACCUGGUCUGGGCAGUAUUGAACUUUCAGAGACACCAUUUUUACUUGGAAAAGAAAAAGAAACAGUUCUAAUUGUAACCACUUCAGCCAUAAUUCUUAGUGUAAUUCAUGUGAUGGUAGAUUUCUUUUACUUUUUAGGCCAUUUUAUGUUCUUACAUUUCUUUGUAACAGUUGAGACUACAAGAAUUUAAAGGCCCGUUUGGUGGAGAGGAUCAGGAGAUAAGAUAUUGCUCUCCCCCUUAUUGGCCUUCAACGAUGGCUCGUCCUUCCCGUUUUCCGUCAUCCUCGGUGUGCGUAAACUCUUCUCCGAUAGCAUCUUGUGUAGGUCGCAUCUCUUUCCAUCAAAGAAGGUAUCAAUGAGAUUUCAAGAGUCCCUCACUUUCUAUCUUGUAACGGUGUUGCGACAUCUGUGGAUGUGCAUCUUAUCUUUGUCCUUCCUCUUCCAUACACCCCUUGUGAGUUGUGAACCACCAUUCUUCCCAGAACACUACGAUACACCACCUUAACUUUGAAUCCAACAUCCCCAAACACAUGUACCCACGGAACCCAACUGAUUGAUCUUAUUGUGCAUUUCAGCUUUGCUUUUGAUUUUUUCAUAGUUAUUCAAUUGUGCUUUUUCAUU